This 253-nucleotide ribosomal RNA is filed under the name uncultured bacterium. RNAcentral's name for it is "partial 16S ribosomal RNA". It matches the Rfam family "Bacterial small subunit ribosomal RNA", at positions 524 to 776 of the family's 1533-position model. The record is from RNAcentral.
GACGAACCGUGCGAACGUUGUUCGGAAUCACUGGGCUUAAAGGGCGCGUAGGCGGGCCACCAAGUCCGGGGUGAAAUCCUCCAGCUUAACUGGAGAACUGCCUCGGAUACUGGAGGUCUUGAGGAAGAUAGGGGCAUGCGGAACCGUGGGUGGAGCGGUGAAAUGCGUUGAUAUCCAUGGGAACUCCGGUGGCGAAGGCGGCAUGCUGGAUCUUUUCUGACGCUGAGGCGCGAAAGCCAGGGGAGCAAACGGG